AGUAAAAGUCGUAACAAGGUCUCCGUUGGUGAACCAGCGGAGGGAUCAUUACUGAGUUUACGCUCUACAACCCUUUGUGAACAUACCUACAACUGUUGCUUCGGCGGGUAGGGUCUCCGCGACCCUCCCGGCCUCCCGCCUCCGGGCGGGUCGGCGCCCGCCGGAGGAUAACCAAACUCUGAUUUAACGACGUUUCUUCUGAGUGGUACAAGCAAAUAAUCAAAACUUUUAACAACGGAUCUCUUGGUUCUGGCAUCGAUGAAGAACGCAGCGAAAUGCGAUAAGUAAUGUGAAUUGCAGAAUUCAGUGAAUCAUCGAAUCUUUGAACGCACAUUGCGCCCGCCAGCAUUCUGGCGGGCAUGCCUGUUCGAGCGUCAUUUCAACCCUCAAGCUCUGCUUGGUGUUGGGGCCCUACAGCCGAUGUAGGCCCUCAAAGGUAGUGGCGGACCCUCCCGGAGCCUCCUUUGCGUAGUAACUUUACGUCUCGCACUGGGAUCCGGAGGGACUCUUGCCGUAAAACCCCCCAAUUUUCCAAAGGUUGACCUCGGAUCAGGUAGGAAUACCCGCUGAACUUAAGCAUAU
Molecule: ribosomal RNA, 582 nt
Filed under: Colletotrichum gloeosporioides
Lineage: Eukaryota; Fungi; Ascomycota; Sordariomycetes; Glomerellales; Glomerellaceae
Description: eukaryotic LSU rRNA
Rfam family: 5.8S ribosomal RNA (bases 224-377)
Source: RNAcentral